UGGUGGAAUGAUUUAUCUGGUUAAUUCCGUUAAUGAACGAAACCUUAACCUGUUAGAUAGUUACAUGUAACCUCAGUCACAUGGGCAACCUCUCAAAGGGACUUUACAUGUCUAACAUAAGGACAUGUGAGGCAAUAACA
This 140-nucleotide ribosomal RNA is filed under the name uncultured eukaryote. Its description in RNAcentral is "partial 18S ribosomal RNA". It matches the Rfam family "Eukaryotic small subunit ribosomal RNA", at positions 1299 to 1458 of the family's 1831-position model. The record is from RNAcentral.